This 253-nucleotide ribosomal RNA is filed under the name uncultured bacterium. RNAcentral describes it as "partial 16S ribosomal RNA". It matches the Rfam family "Bacterial small subunit ribosomal RNA", at positions 524 to 776 of the family's 1533-position model. The record is from RNAcentral.
UACGUAGGCAGCAAGCGUUGUUCGGAGUUACUGGGCGUAAAGGGCGCGUAGGCGGCUUUUUAAGUCUGGUGUGAAAUCUCCCGGCUCAACUGGGAGGGUGCGCCGGAUACUGAGGGGCUAGAGUGUGGGAGAGGAAAGUGGAAUUCCUGGUGUAGCGGUGAAAUGCGUAGAUAUCAGGAGGAACACCGGUGGUGUAAACGGCUUUCUGGACCAUAACUGACGCUGAGGCACGAAAGCGUGGGUAGCAAACAGG